CACCCCGCCACUCCUGAGCACCGCACACCGGCUUCCUCCCAGUCCCUCAUCUGAGAACUCAUGAAGCCACUUGGAAUCCCUCUCUGCUUUGCCUGGCUCAUUCCAUGUCAAUUUCAGAUCUUCACUUCAGGUCAGCUCCAAGGAGGCUAUCCUUGCCCAUCUUCCUAAAAUAGAGCUCUCAAAACCUGGCUGUUUUCCUUCAGAGCACUGGCCUCCAAUUGCUCCGGUAGAUUGCAAAUGACCUGCUUUCUUUCUGUUCCCGGGCUGCGUUCGGACCCCUGUCGGAUAGUAACUCCCAAGUAAGGUACCUGCCGUCGGCAGAUUGGAGCUUUCUUCUUGGAGACCUAAUACCCACAGUCCUCCAGAAAAACAAACAAAGACAUGGAUUUACUGUGCAUAUUAGCAGAUCCAUACUGGAAAAUGCAUGGAGGUUUCAUAUACACCACUUACAGUUUUCAGCUCCUCAGUAGUGACAAAGCCAUACCCAUCAUUGUCGAUUCGAUCAACAAUCUUCCCUAGCCUCUCCUUGCUCUCGUCCGGGGUGAGCUCGUCGAAGUUCUUGGAGUCCUCCUUGCCCAGGAAGGCCUCGUGGUCGUACUGGAAGCUCUGGUUGUCCUCAGGGGGCCGCUCGCCCAGCUCCGAGUCGGGCCGCACCACGCGCUCUUUGCGCACCGUGGGCUUGGCCCGCAGAACCCGCGGCGCCAGCACCAGCGCCAGCAGCAGCCCCAGGGCUAACCCCAGGCGGCCACCGCGCGCCAUCGUCCCGAGGAGAGGGCGGCCGGGAGGGAGACGCUGAGCGAGCGACAACAGCGGCAGCUCGGGAAUGGGGGCUCGGAGCGCGGCGGCCAAGUUUUAUGUUAUGUAUAUUUUACAAGUAAAAAAAUUUUUUCACCUCAGCCUGAACUGAACACUAGCUGACAGACGUUUUGAUUUCUUUGACCAUCACGGAAUCGUGGCCAAGCGCGGUGGCUCACAUCUGUAAUCCCAACACUUUGGGAGGUCAAGAUGGGCGGAUUGCUUGAAUCCAGGUGUUUGAGAUCAGCCUGGGCAACAUG
RNAcentral lists this long non-coding RNA (1055 nucleotides) under Homo sapiens (human). Its description in RNAcentral is "non-protein coding TPT1-AS1:74". Lineage: Eukaryota; Metazoa; Chordata; Mammalia; Primates; Hominidae. The record is from RNAcentral.